RNAcentral lists this ribosomal RNA (482 nucleotides) under uncultured bacterium. RNAcentral describes it as "partial 16S ribosomal RNA". It matches the Rfam family "Bacterial small subunit ribosomal RNA", at positions 30 to 507 of the family's 1533-position model. The record is from RNAcentral.
AUUGAACGCUGGCGGCAUGAUUUACACAUGCAAGUCGUACGGUAACAGGCCGCAAGGUGCUGACGAGUGGCGAACGGGUGAGUAAUGCAUCGGAACGUGCCCAGUCGUGGGGGAUAACUACUCGAAAGAGUAGCUAAUACCGCAUACGAUCUAUGGAUGAAAGCGGGGGACCGUAAGGCCUCGCGCGAUUGGAGCGGCCGAUGUCAGAUUAGGUAGUUGGUGGGGUAAAGGCUCACCAAGCCAACGAUCUGUAGCUGGUCUGAGAGGACGACCAGCCACACUGGGACUGAGACACGGCCCAGACUCCUACGGGAGGCAGCAGUGGGGAAUUUUGGACAAUGGGCGCAAGCCUGAUCCAGCAAUGCCGCGUGCAGGAAGAAGGCCUUCGGGUUGUAAACUGCUUUUGUACGGAACGAAACGGCUCUGGUUAAUACCCGGGGCUAAUGACGGUACCGUAAGAAUAAGCACCGGCUAACUACGUG